Pseudophryne corroboree (corroboree frog) is the source of this 1471-nucleotide long non-coding RNA. RefSeq lists it as uncharacterized. The record is from RefSeq and is a predicted model, not a curated record. NCBI's taxonomy places the organism in Eukaryota, Metazoa, Chordata, Amphibia, Anura, Myobatrachidae. The transcript has 3 exons.
UCUGUGCAGUGCCUGACCCCUGACUGAGUCCCCAGCCCUGGCUCAGCCCCUCAGCCAGGGUCAAUUCGAGGGGGGGAAUGUGAUCAGUGUGAUCACCCCCCCACCUAUACAGGAAAAGGCAGGGGCUGAGAAAGAACAGCAGCCUAUCUGCCUGACUGCAGCACAGCACACUGCAGCAUGUGCUGUGCUGCCAACAUGAGAGCUUGUGCUGCUGCCCAGUAAGGAGGGAGAGGGGUGGGAGUGCAGUGCACCAGGGCCCCCGGCAGACCCCUCUAUCAGUCCCAGGUCUGGGUAAUUAGUACCUGCUUCACCCCCCCCUCCUCUCGCUGUCACUGACGACAUAGGAUGGAGCCGCUGCUGCUGGAGUAACGGAGCCUGCGAGACACCGGAGGCGGAGAAGAGAGCGGAGAGUCAGCGCCUGAGCCGGGACCUCCUGCAGUAACAGCGGGGAGGACGGCGCACAUCGGGAUCCUGCAGCAGGAGAGAAGAACCCCCUUCGGAGCGUAGCAGACCACACUGAAAAGGGUGCAUCCCCGGUGCGGUGCUCUGCAUCCCGGUUGGCGCUGAAGAUGUGGAGUUUCGGAGGUGGCAGAAGCGCCGCAGCUUGGGGUGAAAAGCAGCUGGCUACUAAGCGACAGAGCAGAAGCACAAACACGAGGCAGUUUAUAGCACAUCUAUGAAACAUUGCCACACAACAGUGGCAGAAAUGAAAAGUGGUGCAAGAAGGAAUUGUCCUUGGGCCCUGCCAUCCAUCUUUAUGUUGGAUAUUAAAAAGGACAUGCACAGUUUAACAAACGAAGUAUUUCAGUGACAGGGACUGACACUUUUGUGGCUGAAGUGCUUGGUUUAUUUGGGCCCCCACAAAACAAGCUAUCAAUGGGCUUAAGGUAGCUAAGCUAACAGCUUUGCAGUGGCAAGACGUCAUCAUCACUACCAUCCUCAUCCUCACCCUCCUCAGUGUUUACUUCAUCCUCACACAAUAUCAAUUCAUCCCCGCUGGAAUUCACCAAUACAGAAGUCUCUGUACUUUAACGUAAUUGCCGGUAAAGGUCUUCCUUGUGGAAUUUGUAGUACAUUUUUCCACAUUUUGGAGAACUAUCCUCCUACGCCAAUUGCUGAUAAGGGUCCCAAUUGUGCUGAAAACUCUUUCUGAGUACACACUGGAGGGUGGGUAGCUCAAGUAAUGCCAAGCCAGUUUGUACAAGGGACUUAAAAUUGCCUUUUUUUUUCUUCCAGUAGUCAUAUGGUCUCUGUAACAUGCUUGUUUGUACACUGUCAUUAAAAUAACCCUCCACCAUUGUUUGGACGGUGACUGUAUUAGAUGGAGUACAGUGCACCAGAACAGUACAAACAAUAGAACAAUAUAUUUGUUUUUCACUUUGUACUCAACUCAAACUGCAACAAUUCAAAGGAAUUAAUUUUCUAUGUACAUGAAUAAUAAACGUACAGGUGUAAAGUGUGCCAGAACAGU